Chenopodium quinoa (quinoa) is the source of this 3843-nucleotide RNA transcript. It is a transcript of the gene named protein PLANT CADMIUM RESISTANCE 7-like, with no coding region annotated. The transcript has 5 exons. The record is from RefSeq and is a predicted model, not a curated record. NCBI's taxonomy places the organism in Eukaryota, Viridiplantae, Streptophyta, Magnoliopsida, Caryophyllales, Amaranthaceae.
UAUAAUAGGAUGACAGAGUGUGAACUGAUCAAGAUUGCAGCAACACCAAAAAAUGCAAGUAUUUUUAAGUUGUAACCUUUAAGCUUAACAGUUAAGACUUGGAAGAUCAAAACUUGAAGUACACUAAUUUCAAAGCCUUAAUUUAAGCGCACACACGUUUGCGAGCACACAAAAUCUUGCAAAAUGCAAUGAAAAGGCACAAAUUCUAACUUCUAGGCAGUUUCCAGCUCAAUUUACCUUGAUAAACAAUAUUCAUAUGGAGUACGGAGUACUAUAUUAUAGUAUUAUACUAAGGAACUACAGAGGUAUACUAUAGAAUUAUCAUAUUUAUCUAUAUAUAUAUAUCAUGGUAUAAAUUCAUAUAUAAUGCUCAAAAUCAAAAAAAAAAAAAAAAAUGUAUGCAUCAUCGUAUAAUACUAGUACUGCAAAACAAACACAAGGACUACCAUACCCUGCAGCACCGAUGAACAAUAUUGCAGCAGGGCAGCCAUAUUCAUCGCAUUAUAAUGCUUCGUCUGUCGUCGUCCAUGGGACGGGUCCAUGGUCUACCGGACUAUGCCACUGCUGUGAUGACCCUGCCAACUGCUUGGUUACGGCCUUUUGUCCUUGCAUCACCUUUGGCCAAAUUGCCGAGCUUGUUAAUCAGGGUGACCCUGGUUGUGCAGGAAGUGGAACAAUAUACGCGUUGCUAAUGGGAUUCUCGGGUUUAGCAUGCUUAUAUUCAUGCUUCUAUCGGUCAAGGUUAAGAGGGCAAUAUGGGUUGGAUGAGUCACCUUCUGCUGAUUGUUUGGUUCACUUCUGUUGUGAACCUUGUGCACUUUGCCAAGAGUACCGCGAACUCAAGAACCGUGGUUUUGACAUGGGCAUAGGUUGGGAGGCUAACAUGGAGAGGAAGAGGGCAACAGUGGUUACAGUGGCUCCUCCUGUCGGCAUUAUGAUGCGCUAAUCGAUUAGCAGCCACAUGUUGCAAUUAGUUAAGAUUUUGGCUGAAUUAUCCUGUGAAAAUAGCCUUGUUCAACUUAAUCCGAUCCUUAAUAUUAGUAUGUGUCACUUUUAAUUUUGUUGUAAUUCACCAUCAAAUAUAGUUCAUAUGCUAGAUGAAUAACAUUUUAUAUUUUAUAUUUAUUCAAAGUAUGUGCAUCUAGAAUAUAUUCAAUGGAACAAAAUAUACUCCGUAUAUACCUCGUGUUUAAGUAUUUUUAAAAAUUAUAGUGAUGACUCCCGAUCCUUUUUAGUACGUAUAUCGUUUUGAAAUUUUUACGGUACAAGCGUCUUUAUAAUGGUUGGUACAGUAAAAAAACGUGGAAAGAACAUGUAGUUGUUUUGUAAAGGACAUACAACUGUUUUGUAAAGAAUAUCCAGCUUUAUGUUUUUUUCGUAUAUUUGAAGAACAUCUGUAAUAUUAAUAAAUAACAUGGUAAUAUUAUGUACAGAACAUUAUUUAUAUAUAUCCACCAUAAUUUAAAGAAAAAAUUCACCAUUGAAAUUUUACAACUUAUUAUCAUAAAGUAGUACGUAACAAAAAAACUACUAUAUCAAAAAAACUUGAAAAUAACAUACCGGCUUAACUUAUUAUCAUGUAGUAGUACGUUAAGAAAACCAAGUACUAAACUUCAAAGUGGUAGUCAUCAUGGUGGUAAAUUCAGCUAAAUUAAUGAAGCCAUCACCAUCAUUAUCAACCUCCUUAAUCAUUUUCUUACAAGACUCUAAGCUAUACAUUUGCCCCAUCCUCCUUAACACUUCCAUCAACUCCUUAGCACUUAUCUUGCCAUCACCAUCAGAAUCGAAAAUCCGAAACGCGCUCUCUAUAUCCUUAGACACUACUAGAAAUAGGCAAAAUAGUGACGGUUUACUUCCGACGGACGGUUUUUCCGUCGCAAAAUUCAAAAAUUACGACGGAUUUUAUCUACGACGAAAAUUCCGUAGUAAUCUUGCGACGGAAUUUUUUUCCCUCGUAAUUUUCUUUUUACGACGGAAUAUUUCGUCGAAAAUAUGUUUGCGACGGAAUAUUCCGUCGUAAAAUGAAAAUUACUAGGGAAAAAAAUUUCGUCGUAAGAUUAUACGUUUUUUAAAAAAUACCCAAAUUGGACUAAACCUAAAAAAUCGAAUUGGAAACAGAAGAAAGAGAAGGAGAGAGAAAGAGAGAGGGAAAGAGAAAAAGGGGCAUCUGUCGCCGGCCGUCCCGAUUUCGGCGCCGGUCUUCACCAAUCUGCCGCCGACGAAGACCAAAACGAAAGGAGGACGAAAAGGAGAAAGAGGACGAAAAGGAGAAAGCGAAACAGGACGAAAAGGAGAAAGAGAAAGAGGUCGAGCCUCCGUUUUCCGGCGACCCUCCGUUGACGCUUCUGGUUGUUGCCGGCGCCGCGUCUAGUUAAGUUGUUUUUGUUUUUUGUUGUUUUUUUUUAUUCGGUUUUUUUUACAACACAUUCAAAUCUGCAGCCUUCCUUGACACCACAACCGCAGCCUCUCUUGACCACCGCAGCCUCCGGCCUCCUCCCUUCCCUCGCCGUGGCUGAAGCAGUUGGAUUUGUACAAUUUGUCAAAAACAAGUGCAGAUCUAAAGGACACCUACCAGAAGAAGCUCGAAGAAACAAUGAGUCAGGGGAUUCAGAAGAGUCUCAAUGAGUUGUACUGGGAGUCGGUGGGUGGGCGCAAUAAGAAGGGGCGUGUGAAGGGACUUGGCCAAAGUGCAGAGUUCUACUAUGGCAAACAGGGUCGAGGUUCCCGUUCUUCACAGCAAUACACGCCGUCUGUCAUUUCUCAAAUGCAAGACCAGAUGGAACACAGGGUGCAAACUCUUCAAACUCAAAUGGAAGCCCGAAUGGAUGAAAUGGAGAGGAGAUACAAGGAGAGUUUCGAUGAGAUGAUGAGUCGUCUCAACAACAACGACUCAUGUUCCACCAUUCAUCCUCAGCAUCGAGACCCUAGGAACGACCCGGGUGGUGGUGGAGCAGGCCAGGGUUUCCAGGCGAUUGCGUAGCUUAGCUUUAGUCUAGCAUAGAAUCACUCUAACCUAGCUUUUGUUUGGUAUAGAUACCAAAAUGUGGACUAUCUUUUGUACUAGGACAUAAUUAUUAUAUAUAUAUGUACAUAACCCUAAUUUCGUAGGUCGGUAAUUAAUUUUUUAAAAACAACAAUUUUAGGACUCAAUAUUUAUUUAUUUUUUUGUCGAUUUACCAUUAAAAAAAUUCAGGUUUGAAAAUGCAGAAAAAUACAAAAAUUUGUUUUGGGCUGGAAAUACAAUUUGCGACGGAAUAUUUCGUCGUAAUUUACAUAUUUGCGACGGAAUAUUUCGUCGUAAUUUACAUAUUUGCGACGGAAUUUUCCCUCGCAAAUUAUAAUUUGCGACGGAAUUUUCCCUUGCAAAAUAUGAUUUAUGACGGAAUUAUUCAUCGUACAAAUAUACAUUGCGACGGAAAAUUCCGUCGUAAAUUAUAAUUUGCGAGGGAAAAUUCCGUCGCAAAUCAUAUUUUGCAAGGGAAAAUUCCGUCGCAAAUUAUAAUUUGCGAGGGAAAAUUCCGUCGCAAAUAUGUAAAUUACGACGAAAUAUUUCGUCGCAAAUUAUAUUUUGCGAGGGAACUCUUUCCAUCGCAAAUUUGCGACGGAACUUCAUCAAAGGCCAAUUCCAAGUCCGACGAUAUUAUUUCCGUCGUAAAUUCCGUCGUAAAGUUGGUUUACGACGGAAUUUCCGUCGUAAAAUGGCCAUUUUCCUACAAAGGGUUUUCCGACAACCAUUUACGACGGAAUUCCGUCGUAAACCAACUUUACGACGGAAUUUACAUAGUUUACGACGAAAUUUUUCCGUCGCAAUUAAGGUGUUUUCUAGUAGUGAGAAUUCACCUU